GAUGAACGCUGGCGGCGUGCCUAAUACAUGCAAGUCGAGCGAACGGACGAGAAGCUUGCUUUUCUGAUGUUAGCGGCGGACGGGUGAGUAACACGUGGACAACCUACCUAUAAGACUGGGAUAACUUCGGGAAACCGGAGCUAAUACCGGAUAAUAUUUUGAACCGCAUGGUUCAAAAGUGAAAGACGGUCUUGCUGUCACUUAUAGAUGGAUCCGCGCUGCAUUAGCUAGUUGGUAAGGUAACGGCUUACCAAGGCAACGAUGCAUAGCCGACCUGAGAGGGUGAUCAGCCACACUGGAACUGAGACACGGUCCAGACUCCUACGGGAGGCAGCAGUAGGGAAUCUUCCACAAUGGGCGAAAGCCUGACGGAGCAACGCCGCGUGAGUGAUGAAGGUCUUCGGAUCGUAAAACUCUGUUAUUAGGGACGAACAGAUGUGUGCGAAACUGUGCACCUCUUGACGGUACCUAAUCAGAAAGCCACGGCUAACUACGUG
Molecule: ribosomal RNA, 497 nt
Filed under: uncultured bacterium
Lineage: Bacteria
Description: partial 16S ribosomal RNA
Rfam family: Bacterial small subunit ribosomal RNA
Source: RNAcentral